GAUGAACGCUGGCGGCGUGCCUAAUACAUGCAAGUCGAGCGAACGGACGAGAAGCUUGCCUCUCUGAUGUUAGCGGCGGACGGGUGAGUAACACGUGGAUAACCUACCUAUAAGACUGGGAUAACUUCGGGAAACCGUAGCUAAUACCGGAUAAUAUUUUGAACCGCAUGGUUCAAAAGUGAAAGACGGUCUUGCUGUCACUUAUAGAUGGAUCCGCGCUGCAUUAGCUAGUUGGUAAGGUAACGGCUUACCAAGGCAACGAUGCAUAGCCGACCUGAGAGGGUGAUCGGCCACACUGGAACUGAGACACGGUCCAGACUCCUACGGGAGGCAGCAGUAGGGAAUCUUCCGCAAUGGGCGAAAGCCUGACGGAGCAACGCCGCGUGAGUGAUGAAGGUCUUCGGAUCGUAAAACUCUGUUAUUAUGGAAGAACAUAUGUGUAAGUAACUGUGCACAUCUUGACGGUACCUAAUCAGAAAGCCACGGCUAACUACGUG
This 497-nucleotide ribosomal RNA is filed under the name uncultured bacterium. RNAcentral describes it as "partial 16S ribosomal RNA". It matches the Rfam family "Bacterial small subunit ribosomal RNA", at positions 28 to 507 of the family's 1533-position model. The record is from RNAcentral.